GUGGAUAGUGAUAAGACAAGGGGAAUGGUUUUAAACUGAGACAGGGGAGGUUUAGGUUAGAUAUUAGGAAGAAGUUUUUCCCCCAGAGGGUGGUGACGCACUGAACAGGUUGCCCAAGGAGGUUGUGGAUGCCCCAUCCCUGGAGGCAUUCAAGGCCAGGCUGGAUGUGGCUCUGGGCAGCCUGGUCUGCUGGUUGGCGACCCUGCACAUAGCAAGGGGUUGGAACUGAUGGCCAUUGUGGUCCUUUUCAACCCAGGCCAUUCUAUGAUUCUAUGAUUCUUCUCAACCUUGUUAGCCUUUGCCAAGCAUCAUUUCAGCCUCAGCACUGCAGAUGUUUAACAGGUCCACACUAAAAGUCUUUGAACCUUGCAAUCAAUACAAGCAAGCCACCGCACAGAAUUUACCAUUAUCCAUGUUACGCUUCGUUAAAUGUUAGUUUUACAGCAUUUAGGUGUGUAACAUUGCUGAACUGGUUGUUUCAUCAUCAGCUCCAAAUAGCCAUGCAAGACUGACUGCAAGCAAAGCUCCAAGUCACUCAGUUUUUGACCUAGAACAUCAGUUUGUCCACUGCCAAGCUUCCCACCUGU
This 587-nucleotide long non-coding RNA is filed under the name Gallus gallus (chicken). RNAcentral's name for it is "lncRNA (ENSGALG00010019664.1)". Lineage: Eukaryota; Metazoa; Chordata; Aves; Galliformes; Phasianidae. The record is from RNAcentral.